CAGGUGUGCGGCUGUUUUCCCGCUCUCUUUCCUUCUCUUUGUCGUCCCUGAUUGGCCUCCAUGAGCCAUCAGUCAAAUACUCGAUCUCCUCCACAUCUUCCGGCGUCUCUUUAAGGAUCUCAGACAGCAACCUGAAAUGAGUCACAUUUGGUUUCAAGUGUAACCACUGAUCAUGUAAUGUUUGGUCAAGAUGAGAAACUCACUGCGUUCGCGACAACGAUCGGCACUCUCGACUGAGCAAUGCUUCAGCUGGUUGAAGAGCUCUCCAGAUGUGAACACCCUCACCAGGUACACAGCCACCGAGUACCGCUGCAUCCAAAACACAGCGCAGGGGGAUCCUAAACCAACAAAACCACUGGACAAUGAAACAAAGAGGACCUUGGCAAGCACCAUGAUCUCCCCUCUACCUCCCUAUCGUCAUCUAUCUCCAGUGGUUUCCAUGGCGACAACGCUUGGUCCUACUCGCCUGUGAUCCUUUUUGACCCCUGAGGGUAACCUUUGGUCUAACGGGUCAUGGCCAGGGUCAAGAGGUCAGGAGUGGCCAGAGGGCGAUGAAAGCACUUCUGUGAUUGGCUCUUUUACCAGCCCACAUAUUUUCAUUUGUGUGCCUUGUCCUUCAGUGAGCCUAACUAAAAGACUGUACUUUCUCUAUUUCCAACAAAUACACACAUACAUGAUCUCAAUCCAUCAGUGUGAGCAGUUGAUUGUGUGGCGGAUGAAUGCACUGGAACACUCUUGUGAAAACAGAAAACGUAGCAUCGAUCAUAUUCCCUUCGAGUGAAUGUGUGGGUGUGUUUGUAUGAAACUUCUUGUAAGAGCUACGGUAUCUGCUUUGCAUCACCAAGCGGCCUAUUCAUUUCUUUCACACCUCGUUCUUUAUCAGUUGAAGAGAAAUGGCAGUGAAGUGCUUUUAAAGAUGGUAAUGUGUCUUCUUCCUCAGUCUCGCAUUGAAAGGACCUCAUUCCAAGUCGCUGUGCAUAAUGGCGUCAACUAAAUGGCCGAAACAUAAUGUAAAAUCUGCCGGUCACAUGACUAUAGCCAUCCACAGUCCUCUAAUUCAUUCUUCGGAUGAUGGGUUGUCAAUAUUGAUUUAUGAGCGUAAUGGUCAUGGACUGAUAGAAGGGUAGGAUGGGGGAAGAUGAGUUAAGAGAAGAUGGAGAGAAAGCGAUAGAGGAGGAUAAAGGGGGUGCAGAGGUGAAGGUGGACGUAGAUUGCUGGUAGAGCUGGAGGAAGAGGAAAAGAUGGCACAUCCCUAACAAAGACACCAGGUUCAGUGACGGUUAGUAUUUGAUGCAGGUACCUGUUAUUACAGUUAGGCAUAUUAAAAGGAAUAUUUGGUAAUGUUUUACAAUACAGUGUCCUUGGCUUGCAUCUAUUACAGGUGUAAUUAAUUAUACAAAAGCAGUGAUAGUGGAAGGCAGCGGUGAAAGUUACAUGUUGUCCAUUAGUGUUGCUUAUAUUACUGACACAUUGAUCUUUUUCAGAUUGAAUACUGUUGAAUAUGAUCUAAAAAAAAUUGAGCUACACUAAAUAAUGAUAUAAUAUUAUUUAAAUCUACCCGUUUAAGUUGAAACAUAAGGAACAACAGCUGAAUCUAACAUAUUCAGGCCCAUUUAGUCAUAUAAAGUAGUUUGUUUGACUGAGGCAAAUUUCUAUUGCAUGCAAAAGACCUUGAAAGGGCUUUAACUUGACCAACAUUUCUACAUUCUCAUUUACCUACCGCAGGUCAGAAUAUAUUCGAAGGAAGCAUCCCUCAUGAGCGGGUUAACAACCUCCGGUGAACCCACUGCUAUUGCAUAAGAUCUCUGAAGGACUCUUAAAAGGUAUUUUAAUAGGAGCUGUGACCUUUCACCUUCCAGCAUUGACAUUAAGCUCCUGACCCCACUGACACUACCAUCAAUUUAGUUCCUUCUCUCCAUCUUAUUAAAACAGCCGUGUUUACUGCUUGUUUGGUGGUUGUCUGUUACCCCAGUUUCUGUUGGUUAAUAUUUGAUUGUUUUUAUGUAUGCUUUUUAACAUAUGAGUGCAUAUUAACAUUAAAGUGUACAUAGCUUUCCUAAACAACGUUUUGAUAAUAAUUUAAAACAUUUUAUAAGGUUGAAUUGUGUUAAUAUCCACGUUAUUUUGCAAAGCAGAAGUAAGCCCUUUUCUACGAAUGUGCAAUACCUGUUCAUAGCGUAUAGACAUUAACAGGCUAACAAAGUGGAGAAAAUGGUUAAACGAUUUGUGCUUGUGUUUAU
Molecule: long non-coding RNA, 2240 nt
Organism: Carassius gibelio (silver crucian carp)
Lineage: Eukaryota; Metazoa; Chordata; Actinopteri; Cypriniformes; Cyprinidae
Exons: 3
Source: RefSeq, a predicted model, not a curated record